Molecule: long non-coding RNA, 210 nt
Filed under: Elaeis guineensis (African oil palm)
Lineage: Eukaryota; Viridiplantae; Streptophyta; Magnoliopsida; Arecales; Arecaceae
Description: long non-coding RNA (EGUI_LNC037416)
Source: RNAcentral
GGCUACUUCUAUAAAAUUCUCAUCUUUUACCUUGAUGACAUUUUAUUUUGGGAAAAGAAAGGAGCAGAGGGAGAAAAUUCCCUUUUUUAGGCCACCAAAAUCAUAAUUUGGUAGCAUCUAAUCCCUCCACCAGCUUGAUUGUUAGUCGGUUUUAGUACUGUUGCCGUUCCAAUCUUAUUUGUAUUAUUCCAUCAUUUAUAAAUUGUGUGA